This 74-nucleotide transfer RNA is filed under the name Candidatus Aenigmatarchaeota archaeon. RNAcentral describes it as "tRNA-Arg". It matches the Rfam family "tRNA". Rfam says of the family: Transfer RNA (tRNA) molecules are approximately 80 nucleotides in length. The record is from RNAcentral. Lineage: Archaea; Nanobdellati; Candidatus Aenigmatarchaeota.
GGGCCUGUAGGAUAGCUUGGAUAGACUGAGGGGUUCCGGUCCCCUAGACCUGGGUUCGAAUCCCAGCAGGCCCG